AUUACCAAACCAUUUACUCACCACCCCGACCCAACCAAAUUACCGACCAACAAACACUCAAAUCCACAACCAGUACAUGUCAGACACCCAACCACAAAACCAAGAGCAUACUUCAUACCAUCACCAACAAGAUGCUUAAUAUCAACACACCUAACAUCCAUAUGCCCCCAACACAUCACCCUACCAUAGCUAAAACACGCAAAGA
Molecule: long non-coding RNA, 205 nt
Filed under: Lathyrus oleraceus (garden pea)
Lineage: Eukaryota; Viridiplantae; Streptophyta; Magnoliopsida; Fabales; Fabaceae
Description: Pisum sativum (pea) long non-coding RNA (PSAT_LNC019925)
Source: RNAcentral